UACGUAGGGACCGAGCGUUGUCCGGAAUCAUUGGGCGUAAAGAGCGUGUAGGCGGCCCCUUAAGUCCUGCGUGAAAUCCUGCGGCUCAACCGCAGACGGUCGUGGGAAACUGGAGGGCUAGAGUGCGGGAGAGGAGAGUGGAAUUCCCGGUGUAGCGGUGAAAUGCGCAGAUAUCGGGAAGAACACCCGUGGCGAAGGCGGCUCUCUGGAACGCAACUGACGCUGAGGCGCGAAAGCGUGGGGAGCAAACAGG
RNAcentral lists this ribosomal RNA (253 nucleotides) under uncultured bacterium. RNAcentral's name for it is "partial 16S ribosomal RNA". It matches the Rfam family "Bacterial small subunit ribosomal RNA", at positions 524 to 776 of the family's 1533-position model. The record is from RNAcentral.